GUCGAACGGCAGCACAGGGAGCUUGCUCCCGGGUGGCGAGUGGCGCACGGGUGAGUAAUACAUCGGAACGUGUCCUGUUGUGGGGGAUAACUGCUCGAAAGGGUGGCUAAUACCGCAUGAGACCUGAGGGUGAAAGCGGGGGAUCGCAAGACCUCGCGCAAUUGGAGCGGCCGAUGCCCGAUUAGCUAGUUGGUGAGGUGAGGGCUCACCAAGGCGACGAUCGGUAGCUGGUCUGAGAGGACGACCAGCCACACUGGGACUGAGACACGGCCCAGACUCCUACGGGAGGCAGCAGUGGGGAAUUUUGGACAAUGGGGGCAACCCUGAUCCAGCCAUGCCGCGUGCAGGAUGAAGGCCUUCGGGUUGUAAACUGCUUUUGUCAGGGACGAAAAGGACCGUGUUAAUACCAUGGUCUGCUGACGGUACCUGAAGAAUAAGCACCGGCUAACUACGUGCCAGCAGCCGCGGUAAUACGUAGGGUGCAAGCGUUAAUCGGAAUUACUGGGCGUAAAGCGUGCGCAGGCGGUUCUGUAAGACAGAUGUGAAAUCCCCGGGCUUAACCUGGGAAUUGCAUUUGUGACUGCAGGACUAGAGUUCAUCAGAGGGGGGUGGAAUUCCAAGUGUAGCAGUGAAAUGCGUAGAUAUUUGGAAGAACACCAAUGGCGAAGGCAGCCCCCUGGGAUGCGACUGACGCUCAUGCACGAAAGCGUGGGGAGCAAACA
RNAcentral lists this ribosomal RNA (722 nucleotides) under uncultured bacterium. RNAcentral's name for it is "bacterial SSU rRNA". It matches the Rfam family "Bacterial small subunit ribosomal RNA", at positions 61 to 774 of the family's 1533-position model. The record is from RNAcentral.